This is a long non-coding RNA of Aphis gossypii (cotton aphid), 761 nucleotides long. RefSeq lists it as uncharacterized. Lineage: Eukaryota; Metazoa; Arthropoda; Insecta; Hemiptera; Aphididae. The transcript has 5 exons. The record is from RefSeq and is a predicted model, not a curated record.
AGGGGGUUUCUUCCUCAUCAGAGUCAUCCGUCAAAAAUUGUUGCCAUAUAUCUAUUUCUCUGUCUUCAGGAAUGAUGAAGUCGGUUUCAUCAUAAUCUAGAUCUUGAAUUACAUUUAAAUCAUUUACAUCUAUAACAUCUUCAAUACCUGGAUUAUCUACUAUUACGGCAGGGAUGGCAAUCUGUUGAUGAACUUGUAUUUCUUCUUCAGAGCCUAAUAAGUAACAUACUUUCAACUUCAUCUUCCCAAUUCAACUCUCUUGCUAAAUAAUGUUCUGUGGCAUGAGAGCACUGAAGAAGAAAUUCUCUUAUUGUAAUGGCACCUGUUGUAAAUAACGCAGUGGAAUUUUUGAUUCUCACCGAAUUUAAAAUAUAUUUCAUUUUAAUGGAUCGAGUCGUUGGCAAGCCCCUAGCCAGUUGUCCAACAAUGAUGUGCUGCUUGAUAGAAAUUUUGUUGAGAUGUUCUAUAUGACAAACAUUUUUAUUAGUUAUUUAACAAAAACAAAUGCCUGAUUAAUCGAAAAUCUGUUACAUAUAGUUACAAAUUACAAUAAGAAGAUGAGUGGAGUGUACGUAGUAGCCAGUAGGUGAACAUAGGCAUGAUUGAAGACGAUAUUCAUUGAUUACACUUCGAGGUUUGGAUGCUGGACCUGAAAAGUUUGCUUAAGGGACGAAUGAAAACUUUCCACAUUGUUAUUAGUACGGCGUGGUUGGCCAUGUACCGAAAAACAUUCGGGUCCCUUUCUGAUAAUCCAAAAGCUA